This 253-nucleotide ribosomal RNA is filed under the name uncultured prokaryote. RNAcentral describes it as "partial 16S ribosomal RNA". It matches the Rfam family "Bacterial small subunit ribosomal RNA", at positions 524 to 776 of the family's 1533-position model. The record is from RNAcentral.
UACGUAGGGCGCAAGCGUUGUCCGGAAUUAUUGGGCGUAAAGAGCUCGUAGGCGGUCUGUUGCGUCUGCCGUGAAAUCCCGAGGCUUAACCUCGGGCCUGCGGUGGAUACGGGCGGACUAGAGGUAGGUAGGGGAGAAUGGAAUUCCCGGUGUAGCGGUGAAAUGCGCAGAUAUCGGGAGGAACACCGGUGGCGAAGGCGGUUCUCUGGGCCUUACCUGACGCUGAGGAGCGAAAGCAUGGGGAGCGAACAGG